GUUUUGUACUUAAGUAAUUGUCCAUUAACCUGGCAACCCUUUUCCCCCCUUUUUUGCACCUUAUUCCUUAAAGGUUUGAGCCAUAACUCCCAAAGACAAUUCUUACCAUCCCUUUGUGGUAUUCCAAUAUCCAAAAUCUAAAUACAUGGUUAGAUUCAUCAUAUCAAAGAACCCCAAGAAUUCAAUUUUUGAUGAAAUCAAAUGAAGUUCAAUUUUGGACCCUUU
This 225-nucleotide long non-coding RNA is filed under the name Mytilus galloprovincialis (Mediterranean mussel). Lineage: Eukaryota; Metazoa; Mollusca; Bivalvia; Mytilida; Mytilidae. The record is from RNAcentral.